UUCAGAGAAAAAAGUGGCAUUCAGCACUCUCUGCAUUAAGAAACAUUCGGUGGAAACCAUUUUUGAUCGGUGGAGAUAAAAUUUUGACACUCAAGUCAAGAUUGAGCAUGGAUAAAACUUCUAUUGAAAACAGAAGGACAAUAAAACGAAAAGUGGGAUAACAGGUACAACCAAAAUGGAAGGGGAAGUGACAUAAAGGAGCACAUGAAACGUUCAAUUUGCAGAGAAAUAACAUGUGUCGUACAAGAGACCUAUGCUAAGUUAUAAGAAAA
Molecule: long non-coding RNA, 272 nt
Organism: Solanum tuberosum (potato)
Lineage: Eukaryota; Viridiplantae; Streptophyta; Magnoliopsida; Solanales; Solanaceae
Exons: 3
Source: RefSeq, a predicted model, not a curated record